GAAGGGAAAGGAGGAAAGUAGAAAGGCAACGACGAGGAAGGAUCUAGUGGUGUUGGUGUCGUGGCGGCGGAGUUGAGAAAAAGAGAAGGAGAAGGGAGGUAGCAGUGGUGUCGGGGCCAGGCGACGGAGGAGGAAGAAAGCGGUCGGUGGCGGCGUGCUUGGAGGGCUCAACCCCGCCCGUGUCUUCCGGCACCGCUCAGACCCUGGCGUAGGUAGGAGGCAGGGAGCAGCCGGCGGCGAUGACGAAUAGGAGAGAGGACAGGACCGGAGCAGAGGGUACUGACCACCACCUUUCGGUACUCACCACCUCUCCUCCUUCCCUCCAUCCCCUUGUUGCCCCUUCCCCUACCUGCCCCCUAAGUGAGGGUCUAAAACACGGGGCUCGGUACCUACCGGCUCUCUUCCUUCACCGGAUGCGAGAAAAGAGUCCAAAAAACGUUACUACGAAAAGGCUACCUACCCAUAUCGACCAACUCCAAUUAAAACAACGGCAGAAAGGAAGCAUGCAGUAGCCUCGUAAGAGGGAAAGCGUAACUUCCUUUCUGCAACACCUACUACUAUAAUACUUAUGUUGAGGACAGUUGUAACUUCUCCACAGUCUAUCCGUUCAGAUGUCCGUACACCAAUCUCUUCGUGGAGCUUUUCUAGUCCUGCAUAAGGAUCUAACCGUUAAUACUGUCCUACCAUGCAAACUGUCACCCUACGUAGUUUCAAUAUUAUAAGUACAUUAAUGAUACAUAAAGGUGGGAAAAACAAAGAUCGACUAUGUAUCGAAAACCAUGUACGUAGUUAGGUCGAAGAAACAGGCUACGAGAUUUCUAUACACACGUCACACGAACGAAUCAAUACAAAGAGAUUUAUGUAAGAAAAAACAUGGUUAUAGUACAAUUGACUUUUGAGCGUCAUAUAUAAGGUUACUAAAAAACCACCUUAAAGGUGAUUCCAAAUAAUAGAGGUCUAGUCUACACUAAACCAAUUAUACUUUUAUCGAUAUAAUAACUUUCCGGAAUUUACUCAACUACAACACCCUUUGGACAUAACAUCACCGAUCAAGAUAGAUUCUCAUACGGGUAGAUUAUUGUUGGCCUUCCCUUCACGUUUUUUAGAUCGUAAAGAUAUUGCGAUUGAAGUAAUGAACCUAAUUUGGGUUUAUAACAAACACGAUUAAUACGUUGAAACAGAAACUCAAAAAGUAAAAAACAGGGUGUAUUAUAUAAUGGGAAAAAAUUAGACACGGGCGUACCAGAGUGAUAACUAAAAGAAUUUCAUAUAAUGGGAGAACAAAAACUUUAUUAUCUAAUUACAAGAUAUGGCCUCCAGGAUUGUUUAGGGAUAUCCAAUAAGCAUCAUGGCUAAAACUACGAAGAACUGGCCACAAAGUCUUCGGUAGCUAAAAAAAUAUAAACGUGUACGAAGGAUGUAGAAGCGAUAAAAGAGAGAAAUCACAGUGAAACUACAAGGAAACAGUGAUAAGUAUCAAGGCGGACCCCACCGGAGAUAGAACGAAAUUUUGAGGUAUACCGAUGGAUACAUAUCCAAGACAAACUUGACAUGAGUUUAGUGUAUCUCGACAAUUUGAAGGUUAAACAAGGGAACGGUAGCACACGGUAGCGGUACAAAUGAGGUCUUUUCACCUUACAAAUUUCGAAGGCACACUUCAUCAGUUUAUGAACGAAACGGAAUUUCUGACAGGGGUAGAUACAAAACCCAAAAAACCCAUACUUAAAAUAUAAAUGGACCUUACCUAGUUGGGUAAACCCUAAAAUCUUUUUAUAUACACUCACGUAGAAAGAUUAUUUUCGUAACGAAUAGUCUCGAAGAUACCAGGUACCUUGAAUCUUUACUAUCACAAUAGACAUUAAUAUUCUUUAUGGAAAGAUUAUCAUUCUUUAUGGGAGAAGACCUGAGUUUUAACAACAACCAGAAGACUAGUGAAAGUAACAGAUAGUCGAUCCGAUACUGAUGGUAUUCGAUCGUAGUAACCCCAGUUCAGUAAUACAAAUCAAAUAGAAGUCACGGAACGUCCAAUUACCAAGUGCAUUCUAACAUCGGAUGGAAGAAGCACAACUGAAGGUAUAAAAGGAAGUACAGAUGAUAUAAAUAUAUACGUGUUUCACGAAUAAAGAAACCACGUAGGUAUAAUAGUUCCAUACUCGUCUCGUCGCUCCUUACUCUACAAAAAAAACCUUCUUACUCUACUUGUAAUUGUCCCAUAGUUCCAACGACAACGGGUAGGAAUAUUUUUUUACAACAUCAAUGAGUACAUUAUAAGUGUGACAGCUACUGUUACAUAGUAUCAAUGUACUCGAGUUGGUACAAUGAACUAUUGCUCUUACAGUUAGUGUAUACGAACUAUCUGAUGUACACAAUCAUACAACGUCCUAUUGGUAAGUUUGUCCAUAAGUCAAUGUUCUCACUGUUCAUACUGCAGUACGUCUAAACAACUAGUUGUAUGUAAAAGUACUAAUACACUUACAUAUACAGAAAAACAUCUUCUUUACAUUUUCGACUUUCGAUAUCGGGGUGUAUCCUGGAACGUGACCGGUAGGUUAUUUUCGGUGUUGUCAAUUC
Molecule: ribosomal RNA, 2571 nt
Filed under: Triticum aestivum (bread wheat)
Lineage: Eukaryota; Viridiplantae; Streptophyta; Magnoliopsida; Poales; Poaceae
Description: partial small subunit ribosomal RNA
Source: RNAcentral